UUUCGGUACCAACAACAGCCGUGCUUAAUUUGUCCAUUUGUAAUAUUGGUAAUUGCAGCCGAUUACACACGAGUAAAAAAUGACAACGGUGGUGCAUGAUUCACACACGGUCGUUGUCAAUAUGACACCGGUCGUGUAUGAAUUAUGCACCACCACCUGCAUAAUGAUGCACCACCGUUGUUACUUUGUACACCGACGUGCAUGAAUCGUACACGAUCGUUGCCAUUUUAGCAACUACCGUGUAUGAAUCAUGCACCACCGUUGUCAUUUUUUUUACUCGUGUGCAAUCGGCUGCAUAUUUACCAUUUUUUCCGUGUUAUUGAAAGAGAAAGGACGCAUUGUGCAAAAAAUUUAUUGAAAAUGAAUAAUAAUUCGCAAGAUCCUCAAAAUAUCAUUGGUGAGUUGUUAGAAAUCGAUGGCAAUAUUGUUGUGGUUCGCGAUACAAACCAUUGCAGCAGUCAAGAUGCGGAAAACAAUGAGGACGAUUAUAUGUUAAGGGAGUUCUUAAAAGGAAUAAAUAUGGAGUCGCUUUUUGAACAAUUAAAAGCAUCACAUGUAACAUUUCGCAGCUUGCAGUACUUGAAAAAAGAAGAUUUAAAGGAAGCAGUGCCACCAUUGGGACUGCGUGUUGAAUUCAGAGAAAAGCUCUUUGCUUGGAAAAAACGAAAGCUCGGGAUUGAUGACGAAACUAUGUCAGUUCCAUCUAAAAUAGGUGAAUGGUGGAAACGCAACGAGACACCUGCAAGUACUCCUGGUACUCCCGACACUACAGGUUCGAACUGCUCAAAAGCCAAAGGAAUUUUGUCAGAGGAUCUAACGGAAUUGUUAACACAUACCUCGAAGGGGAAACUAGCGCUUGAAUGUAGUAGCGUUAAUAAGAAAUUAAGUGACGAGCAAAGAGAUGAUAUAAUUAAUAUAAUUAUUGAAGAUAUUUUAACCAACAAUGUUACUCUUUACACUCAAGACUAUAUGCGCAUAUUGGAUGAAAUUUGUUCCGUUUUUCCUCUUGAAAACGAAAUGAGGGUAAGAUUAACAAUAUAAACAACGUAUCUGAUUAUGUAGUUUCUUAACUUAUAAUAUGUCUUUAUUUUUAGGAUUAUUAUUACAUUUCAAGAAAAGGAAAGAACAACGCAAGCGGAAAACUUUAUGCCAAGUAUAGAAACAAGAAGUCCAAAAGAAUAAAGCUUUUGAUUUCCGAGCCUAGCACAAGCAAAGCAGCAACUCACACAUCUCCUAAUUUUUGUAACAAAGAUGUUCCCGAAAUUGAUGAAUCAGUUGAAAAUUCAUUGAAAGCUUCCUUACUAAGAGAAUGUAAUGAUUGGGGAUCGAUCUGCGAAAAAUGGAAAAGAUCUUUUAACAUACGGCAAAGAGAUAUAAAAAAUUUAAGUAGCCAUACAUUUCUCCUUGAAUGGACGAAGUUGUCCGAUGCAAGAGCUUCAGAAUUGGUCAACAUUGAUUUCGAUAUUAUGUAUCCACAGAAAGGCAAUCUUCUACUUUCUAAAUGGGACCAAUUUAAGAAAAAAAUUUACAAUUAUUAUGGGAAAAAUAUUCAUAACGAACAUUGCAAACAACUCUUCGCAAAUGUUUUGACGGCAAGCAGCAUAGGUAAAUUUUAAUUCCUGAUUUAUCAUAAACAUUAAAAGUAAUAUUUAUUUUAUAUUUCGGUUGCAGAUGCUCAAGAUUAUAUAUACGCAAUACUGUUGAAUUCAGUUUUACCAUCACCUGCUAGGUUUAAAUGUGGAAACGGUAAAUUACGAAAAAAAGUAACAAUAGCUGAUUCGCAGGAAAGUUUCGUACUGCGACUACCGACAAUUAACGAUUAUAAAAGGCAAAUUGAUACAGUCACUGAAAAGUAUUACAAUGCUGGAUUAACUAUACAGCCAUUUAUAAUUGUGGAGGGUUUGUCCGAUUUCAAUAUAAAAGGUUUUUAUGUUUUUUUUAACCACAAUUUGUUAAAAUUUCAAUCGUUCCUCGAAUGUUUAGAUACAUGUUUUAAAAUUUUUCAUGCACUUUCUUUAAAAUAUCCAAAUGCCUGCCAAAUUCCAUGGAUUUUUAUCCAAAAAUAUUUUUAUGAAAUUAAUACUGUAUAUGAUAUAAAAUCAGUUAAUUUGACUUCACUUAUUAAUUUCUGCAACAAUAAUUAAAGUACAAUUCAAAAUGUAUAUUUGCUUUCGUUGCCGUAAGCAUUUUGAUAAGGCAAAUCUUUUAAUAGCUCAUUUGAAAACAGACCAUUUAAUGUCCACUAAAUUUUUAAAAGUACAAUGCGUUCAGGACAACUGUAAGCAAACAUUUACAAAAUUUACGUCAUUCAGAAUUCAUUUAGAAAAACUUCACAAGAAUCACACAAAAGCUCCACCAAUGGUUAAAGCCAUUAAUGUGCCAGUUGAAAUGUCAUCAUCAAAAGAAAAUGAUUAUACAAACAGUGAAACUGUUAUUAACAACAAUACAAUAGAAAAGGAUUUAAAUGUUUUGAAAAAGAAAACCUUAUAUCUGUCUUUACAAUUACAUGGUCAAAGCUAUAUGCCUAGAAAUCAUGUUAUAGAAAUACAACAUUCUGUUUCAAUUCUGCUUUCAUCCAUUUCAUGUACAAUUGAAAAAUAUAUAACUGAUCAUCCAAAUUAUGAAGACUUAAGGUACUUACUAAACUUUUGUAAAAAUCCUUUCGAAGAAACUAGAACGGAAUAUAGACUUUUAAAAAUUUUAAAAGAACUAAACUUUUAUGAUGAUCCAAAGGUUUAUGUAAUUAGCAAUCAAGUCUCGGAAAUUGUUAUCAGCGGAAAUCCCAGUUUAGGUCCAAAGUUAUCCAAUAUUUAUAUAAUGCCACUGAAAUUCAUGAUAAGUGCCCUUUUUAAAAUUCCAAAUCUCUUAGAUUUGACAUUA
RNA transcript from Musca domestica (house fly), 2880 nucleotides. RefSeq lists it as uncharacterized. The transcript is spliced from 5 exons. The record is from RefSeq and is a predicted model, not a curated record. Lineage: Eukaryota; Metazoa; Arthropoda; Insecta; Diptera; Muscidae.